CCCUGGGUGGUGUAAACAGGUAAUGCAUUUGGCUGCUAACCUAAAGGUGGGUGGUUUGAGUCCACCCACAGGCA
This 74-nucleotide transfer RNA is filed under the name Loxodonta africana (African savanna elephant). It matches the Rfam family "tRNA". Rfam says of the family: Transfer RNA (tRNA) molecules are approximately 80 nucleotides in length. Lineage: Eukaryota; Metazoa; Chordata; Mammalia; Proboscidea; Elephantidae. The record is from Rfam by way of RNAcentral.